Molecule: ribosomal RNA, 259 nt
Filed under: uncultured bacterium
Lineage: Bacteria
Description: partial 16S ribosomal RNA
Rfam family: Bacterial small subunit ribosomal RNA
Source: RNAcentral
UACGAGGGGGGGCGAGCGUUUGUUCGGAAUUAUUGGGCGUAAAGCGUGUGUAGGCGGCCUCGUAGGUCGGAUGUGAAAGCUCUCGGCUCAACCGGGAAAGUGCAUUCGAAACCACAAGGCUUGAGUGUCGGAGAGAGGGUAGUGGAAUUUCCGGUGUAGCGGUGAAAUGCGUAGAGAUCGGAAAGAACACCAGUGGCGAAGGCGGCUACCUGGUUCCAGACUGACACUGAGGUGCAGGAAAGCAUGGGGAGCAAACAGG